AGUGAACGCUGGCGGUAGGCCUAACACAUGCAAGUCGAACGGCAGCACAGUAAGAGCUUGCUCUUACGGGUGGCGCGUGGCGGACGGGUGAGGAAUACAUAGGAAUCUACUUUUUCGUGGGGGAUAACGUAGGGAGACUUACGCUAAUACCGCAUACGACCUACGGGUGAAAGCAGGGGAUCUUCGGACCUUGCGCGAUUGAAUGAGCCGAUGUCGGAUUAGCUAGUUGGCGGGGUAAAGGCCCACCAAGGCGACGAACCGUAGCUGGUCUGAGAGGAUGAUCCGCCCCACUGGAACUUGGACACGGUCCAGACUCCUACGGGAGGCAGCAGUGGGGAAUAUUGGACAAUGGGCGCAAGCCUUAUCCAGCCAUACCGCGUGGGUUAAGAAGGCCUUCGGGUUGUAAAGCCCUUUUGUUGGGAAAGAAAAGCAGCAGGUUAAUACCCUGCUGUUCUUACGGUACCCAAAGCAUAAGCACCGGCUAACUUCGUG
This 492-nucleotide ribosomal RNA is filed under the name uncultured bacterium. Its description in RNAcentral is "partial 16S ribosomal RNA". It matches the Rfam family "Bacterial small subunit ribosomal RNA", at positions 29 to 507 of the family's 1533-position model. The record is from RNAcentral.